CCUACGGGUGGCAGCAGUGAGGAAUAUUGGUCAAUGGGCGCGAGCCUGAACCAGCCAAGUCGCGUGAGGGAAGACGGUCCUAUGGAUUGUAAACCUCUUUUGUCGGGGAGCAAAAGACGCCACGCGUGGCGUUCCGAGAGUACCCGAAGAAAAAGCAUCGGCUAACUCCGUGCCAGCAGCCGCGGUAAUACGGAGGAUGCGAGCGUUAUCCGGAUUUAUUGGGUUUAAAGGGUGCGCAGGCGGAAGGUCAAGUCAGCGGUAAAAUUGAGAGGCUCAACCUCUUCGAGCCAUUGAAACUGGUGUUCUUGAGUGGGCGAGAAGUAUGCGGAAUGCGUGGUGUAGCGGUGAAAUGCAUAGAUAUCACGCAGAACUCCGAUUGCGAAGGCAGCAUACCGGCGCCCUACUGACGCUGAGGCACGAAAGCGUGGGUAUCGAACAGGAUUAGAUACCCUAGUAGUC
Molecule: ribosomal RNA, 459 nt
Filed under: uncultured bacterium
Lineage: Bacteria
Description: partial 16S ribosomal RNA
Rfam family: Bacterial small subunit ribosomal RNA
Source: RNAcentral